Molecule: long non-coding RNA, 2103 nt
Organism: Leopardus geoffroyi (Geoffroy's cat)
Lineage: Eukaryota; Metazoa; Chordata; Mammalia; Carnivora; Felidae
Exons: 5
Source: RefSeq, a predicted model, not a curated record
UUGAGGGGGUCUUUACAUGAAAGACUGCACAUUGAGCUGGAAAGGGGGCCCUCACACGUAGGCCCUAGAGAGUGGGGUUGUUAGCAGCAGAAGGGGAAAAGCAACUCUGGAGAUUUGAUCACAAACAAGUAACACCCUCUUUUCCUCCCUUCGGGCUCUUCCGGUCCCUCUGCUGCCUGAGGCCAGGGAAGGAAGAGGUACCUAACAGGACAGCCACACCUUGGGAAGCCUAGGAUUUGGUGACUAAAAACCAGAUACAAUGAGACCAGAGGAAUUGCCAGAGUUGUGCCCAGAGAGCUCACUGUGAACUGGAACCGCUUCAUGGAAUACUGGGGAGGUAGGCUGGGGGCAGAACUGGGGGCAAGCAUGAAGAAAAUCCAGGUAUGUAACUGUGGUCUAGAGGAAGAAGGGAAAUACGGUCACUCUGGAUUCUUUAGUGAAUCAAAAAUCUCCUUUUGCUUCAUUUCUUGUGUUCAAAAAUGUUUCAAAUAUACUGUGAACUAUUCACCUUAGGAACUAUCAGAAAUUAAAAAAAGUAACACGGAUGAUUCUUAGCAAUAAAAUAUUCAGCAGUUUUUCGUAUGGGAAAUUUUAAACAUAUAGAAACAGAAAGAAUACUGUGAUUUCCUCCAGGUACCUACUACUUAGCUUUCCUCUUAGUCAAUCUUGCUUCCUCUGUAUGUCUUAGCCCCUUCCCCCUCCCUUAUUAUUUUGAAGAAAAGCUCAGACAUCAUAGAAUACCAUUUUUAUAAUGUUAAAAAUAACUAAAAUUUUAAAAAAGGCUUUUCAUGAAUAUAUAGAUGCAGUAAGACCAUAUAAAAAGAAAUUCAAGGCAAGGAAAAGCACGGCACGUGGGGUGGUAGUUACUGCAUGCGGGCGGGGCUGAGUUACAAGUAGAUUAGUAUCUGCGAUCUUGUUUUCAUCAGCCAGUUCUGGGUACUUACUUGUUACCUUGUCAAAAAUGAAAGGAGACGGCACAAAGACCAAUAUGAGAAGGUGCAUGAACCCAGGAUUCACAUUCAUCCACUGCUGUGCACAGAAGCCCCGUUGGUCCCCUUUUCUGCCUGAGCCAAUGGAGUCAUCGUCGUCUUCCUUUUCAGAGGAUUACUUAGGAGUCCUCGUGUGUUUGAAACCAGAAGGAACCUUCGAAACCAGCACCUGAUGGAUGAGAUAGCUGGUGCACAGAGAAUACCUACUGUGAAAUGUGGAACAAAGUCAAGCUGUAAUAGAUAUCUGAUACAUCUCAGCAAAUAAAGAGGAUAAAAGAAGAAGCCAGAUCUUGAAGUCAUCUUGCAGGUUCUGCUUUCUCCCUCUGGGAAACCAGCCACAAUGUGUGAGGUCCAACUACCUGAGACCGAACUGUGGGCAAGUCUAGGUUAGCGCAUGGACAGAGAGAUGCCAUAUGGAGAGGCACCAAAGUACCAGACGUAAGUGAAGUCCUUUGGAAGUCUGCCAGCCACUUACUGAAUGUAGCUGAGUGACUCCACUGACACCACGGAGAGCAGAACAUCCCAGCCUUUCCCUGAAUUCCAUGCCCACACAACUGAAAAAAAGGCCACGAGAAUGUCCUUUUUGGUCAACUCCCCAUGCCGAUGGAACAACUGUGAGCGUAUUCUGGCCCCAGCGUUGUGCUCCUGCUCAGAACUUCUUCGAGCUCCAUCUUCAGUGACCUGACUUGCUUCAUUUCAUCCGUCUGUCACCUCCUCCCAAAAUAAGCGUGUGUGGUUUCUGUUUGACUUGUUUGCGUUAUACAUGUCCUUAUUAGUCAUGUGUGGGUGUCCCUACACCUCAUUAUCUCCUGAACUUCUCAGGGACCCAGUAGCCAACUCAUUGUCUGCAUUGUCCCGAAGCAUCGCACACAGGGAUACCACAUUUAAAAGCGGUGACUGCUGGAGAAGCAUCUGACCUGUCAAAAGGCUUGAUGGACACCCCCUCCUCCUUGUUCUGCCAGGAUCUCCGAAGGUGACUUCAUCAUCUUUCGUCCAUCAACCUGCUCGCUUUUCUGAAUUCUUUGAGGGGUGGUUGCUUCUAUGUUUUUUGUUUGUUUCAAAAGAAACAAAAAAACCUUAAAAAAAUUUUUUUUUAAUGUCUUACUUAUUUUUG